GAGCACGUAGGUGGGUUUGUAAGUCAGAUGUGAAAGCCUUCUGUUCAACGGAAGAAUUGCAUCUGAAACUGCGAGUCUUGAGUGUAGGAGGGGAGAAUGGAACUUCUGGUGGAGCGGUGAAAUGCGUAGAUAUCAGAAGGAACUCCGGCGGCGAAAGCGAUUCUCUGGCCUAUUACUGACACUCAGUGUGCGAAAGCUAGGGGAGCAAACGGGAUUAGAUACCCCGGUAGUCCUAGCCGUAAACGAUGGGCACUAAGUAGAGGGGUUUU
This 269-nucleotide ribosomal RNA is filed under the name uncultured Planctomycetales bacterium. RNAcentral's name for it is "partial 16S ribosomal RNA". It matches the Rfam family "Bacterial small subunit ribosomal RNA", at positions 565 to 832 of the family's 1533-position model. Lineage: Bacteria; Pseudomonadati; Planctomycetota; Planctomycetia; Planctomycetales. The record is from RNAcentral.